GAUGAACGCUGGCGGCGUGCCUAAUACAUGCAAGUCGAGCGAACAGACGAGGAGCUUGCUCCUCUGACGUUAGCGGCGGACGGGUGAGUAACACGUGGAUAACCUACCUAUAAGACUGGGAUAACUUCGGGAAACCGGAGCUAAUACCGGAUAACAUGUUGAACCGCAUGGUUCAACAGUGAAAGACGGUCUUGCUGUCACUUAUAGAUGGAUCCGCGCCGCAUUAGCUAGUUGGUAAGGUAACGGCUUACCAAGGCAACGAUGCGUAGCCGACCUGAGAGGGUGAUCGGCCACACUGGAACUGAGACACGGUCCAGACUCCACGGGAGGCAGCAGUAGGGAAUCUUCCGCAAUGGGCGAAAGCCUGACGGAGCAACGCCGCGUGAGUGAAGAAGGUCUUCGGAUCGUAAAACUCUGUUAUUAGGGAAGAACAAAUGUGUAAGUAACUAUGCACGUCUUGACGGUACCUAAUCAGAAAGCCACGGCUAACUACGUG
RNAcentral lists this ribosomal RNA (496 nucleotides) under uncultured bacterium. RNAcentral's name for it is "partial 16S ribosomal RNA". It matches the Rfam family "Bacterial small subunit ribosomal RNA", at positions 28 to 507 of the family's 1533-position model. The record is from RNAcentral.